CGAUCAAAUAUGCGACAUCCCAAGAGACGUCGCCGACCCAUUCAUUUUAUUACGCAUGCGGAAGCGAAACAAAUCCCCUGACAAUAAAAUACGGGAUAGAAAAGCAGGAAGCAAAACCACAACAUAACCCUUCCUUAAUUCAACAGAAUUACAAACAGAGGUCUACGGCCAAAAGUCUACAAAAGACCGGCUCUUAAAAAAUGAAUUGUCCUACGACCUACAAGUCGGACACGUUCUCCAAUCUUAUGACUUCACCUCUGCAACUCCUCAAGGCCAACCAAAGCUAUCUGGCCACUCCGUCCACCGGGGACCUGAAAUUUUAAUCCCACAACCGGGAUGAGACGAUGUAUCAGCAAGUUCAACCCCCUAAACCCCUAUUAGAAAGAAAAUACGCCCAAGGGUGGCCUAGCCACGUCACACAGAGAACUUACCUCGCUUCAAUUCCUUCCUGCAGUUUAGCACAAUUCGUAUUACACAAUCUUAGGUAGUAAUAAUAAUUCAAACAAUUGGAACGUCAUCACUUUCAUAUAAAUCACAGUCGCACUCAGCACACAUUUCAAUUAUUAUUCACUGCCACACAAGGGCAUAGCCUACUCGCAGUUCGGCUACCUACUGACACUAAUGCCAGGCAUCGCCUCCCCCCCAUGGAGCGCGGCUUCGUCAUUACGUCGACGGCAUUCCCGAAGGAGUAUGGGUCCAAUCGGCCUAGCCACUACUGCGACCCGAGCCACGUCACUCUCCUGACGGCAUUUCUAUAAGAACAAAGGUCCAGUCGGCCUAGCCACUACUGCGACCCGAGCCACGUCACUCUCCUGACGGCAUUUCUAUAAGAGCAAAGGUCCAGUCGGCCUAGCCACUACUGCGACCCGAGCCACGUCACUCUCCUGACGGCAUUUCUAGUAGAAUAAGGAUCCAGUCGGCCUAGCCACUACUGCGACCCGAGCCACGUCACUCUCCUGACGGCAUUUCUAGUAGAAUAAGGAUCCAGUCGGCCUAGCCACUACUGCGACCCGAGUCUUUCAACCAGCACACAACAAUUCGAUAAUUAAUUGCACAAAUCAUCACUCAAUUUGAAAUAUCUAAUCAUCAAAUUCAUAAUCUGAAUACACAGCAACGAUCAACACGAAAUUCUAAGGAAAUAAGGUUCCCAAAUAAUUUUCAGAAUUUAUUAAAUAAUUAAAUUUAUUCCGAAAAUUAAUUAAAUGAUAAUAUUCAUAUUUUUCACAAUCCACAUUCAAUUUAUAAUAUCCAAUCAUCAAUUUCAAAAUCUGACUACACAGCAGCGACCGGCACGAAAUUCUGAGAAUUUAGGGUCCCGACAAAAUUUUCGGAAUUUAAUAAAUAAUUAAAUUUAUUCCGAAAAUAAUUAAAUAAUAAUAUUUUAAUAAUUUCGAUAUUAAAAUAUUAUUUAAUUAUUCAAUAAUUUCGAGAUAUUUAAAUAAAUCAAAAGUAAAUUCCUUUAUGUCACUUCAAGAUUUAUACUAAUAUAAACACUCACUUAACCUUAAAUUAAACACAAUUUAAGUUAAUCAAACACCUUAAUAUAAUCUACACUUAAAUAAAUUAAACUAACUACCUAAUAACACUUAACAUAAACUAAGCACACCUAAAGCAUCAUUAACCCUCUAAGCGAGGUUUAGUGAGUUAAACUCACCGGAUUAGCGAGCCGAGCGGACCAAAACGACGGGGACGCCGAGGAGAACAACUUUCCUCAAAGCGGGCCGAGCAUCCGGGCUCGGGAAGGCGGCCAAAACGGGCCAAACAUGGGCUGCCAUACCCAUUUUCUGGGUUGCUGAUCGGGGCGGAGAAGGAGCAAAUCCGGCGCCGGUUCGGGCGGAGGAACGGCGGAGGAGAGGGGCGGCAACUCGUGCGGGCUCCGGCGGGCUGAGGCGGGGGUGUACGGCGGCAGAGGGAGCUCCGGCAGCUCCUAGAACGCGCGAGCAGGGGCAGACGGAGGCGGCGGUCCAGGCGAGGCGCGUGCGGGGCGACGCACGGGCGCGCGGGUGCGGGACGACACGGGCGGCGGCGAGCUCCGGCGACUGGCGUGCGGCGUCGAGCUCGGCUGGUCCUGGUCAGCUGCUGCACGAGAUCUCAGAUCUGCUGGGGAGGAGCGGCGAGCUGGCCGGUUGCGCGGGCGAGUGGGCGUGGAUGGCGACAACUCCGACGACAGCGACGAGCGGCGACGGAUCUCGCUCCGGCUGUGGCUGCAAUGGUUGCUGCUGCUCUGGUGAUGUCCGAAGAAGAAGAAGAAGAAAAUGCCCAUGGAGGAAUCGCACGGGAGAGAGGAAGAAGAGAGGGAGGAGAGAGAAGAAGGGGG
This 2317-nucleotide long non-coding RNA is filed under the name Eucalyptus grandis. Its description in RNAcentral is "long non-coding RNA (EGRA_LNC005558)". Lineage: Eukaryota; Viridiplantae; Streptophyta; Magnoliopsida; Myrtales; Myrtaceae. The record is from RNAcentral.